Small nuclear RNA from Mustela putorius furo (domestic ferret), 103 nucleotides. NCBI's taxonomy places the organism in Eukaryota, Metazoa, Chordata, Mammalia, Carnivora, Mustelidae. The record is from Ensembl.
CUGCUUCAGCAGCACACAUACUAAAAUUGGAACAAUACAGAGAAGAUUAGCGUGGCUGCUCCACAAGGAGGACAUGCAAAUUCACAAAGGGUUCCGUGUUUUU